CAGCCGCCGCGGUAAUACAUAGGGGGCAAGCGUUAUCCGGAAUUAUUGGGCGUAAAGGGUGCGUAGGCGGCCAUUUAAGUUUGAGGUGUAAGUUCAAGGCUCAACCUUGUGAUGCUUCAAAAACUGGAUGGCUUGAGAGAGGUAGAGGCAAGUGGAAUUCCAUGUGUAGCGGUAAAAUGCGUAAAUAUAUGGAGGAACACCAGUGGCGAAGGCGGCUUGCUGGGCCUCGUCUGACGCUGAGGCACGAAAGCGUGGGGAGCAAACAGGAUUAGAUACCCUGGUAGUCCACGCCGUAAACGAUGAGUACUAAGUGUCGGGAUAACCCGGUGCUGCAGUUAACGCAUUAAGUACUCCGCCUGAGUAGUACGUGCGCAAGCAUAAAACUCAAAGGAAUUGGCGGGACCUCGCACAAGCGGUGGAUCAUGUUGUUUAAUUCGACGAUACGCGAAGAACCUUACCAGGCCUUGACAUACCGAGCAAUGCUAUGGAGACAUAGUGGAGGUUAUCUGGGAUACAGGUGGUGCAUGGCC
RNAcentral lists this ribosomal RNA (530 nucleotides) under uncultured archaeon. RNAcentral's name for it is "bacterial SSU rRNA". It matches the Rfam family "Bacterial small subunit ribosomal RNA", at positions 509 to 1050 of the family's 1533-position model. The record is from RNAcentral.